CGUACCCUAAUACGAUUUGUUGAGUAUAAUGUUUCUAGACUCGAACCCAAACCAAGUUGGGUCCAAAACCAAGUUUUAGAACCAUCAGGUCAGAUUAAGGUCCAAAACCCUCAACUCAAGUUGGGUUGGGACCCGACCCAACCCUAGGAGCAUUUCGUACAUCAGUAAUAAUUAUACACCUCGAGAGUUUGUGUGGUCCAUGGGGAGGACGAUUUGAUGCUCUAACCGAAGGGUUCAGAGGCCGUUCUCUGAUUGAAAACGGAAAGCCCACAACAAGAAGCAACA
Molecule: long non-coding RNA, 285 nt
Filed under: Amborella trichopoda
Lineage: Eukaryota; Viridiplantae; Streptophyta; Magnoliopsida; Amborellales; Amborellaceae
Description: long non-coding RNA (ATRI_LNC002189)
Source: RNAcentral